Molecule: non-coding RNA, 1259 nt
Organism: Nicotiana tabacum (common tobacco)
Lineage: Eukaryota; Viridiplantae; Streptophyta; Magnoliopsida; Solanales; Solanaceae
Source: RefSeq, a predicted model, not a curated record
AAUAUCAUUUUCAAUUAAAAAAAAAUUCACAUUUUUUUUGGAAUUUUAUCAUUUUUAUGUCCAAACGCCCACUUAGUCUCCAUGCACGGCCAUGGAUUUCACUUACAAAAAUCAUCACACGGUCUCAAAUAACCGGCCACCACAAAUAAAUAUCGUAUUAUUAGAUUUGAAAAAAAAAAAAGAAGCAAAAAUAAGGAGAUGGGUUCUCACUGAAAAUUUGAGCUUUGGGUCUUUGUUCCUAUGAGGUCCUGAUGGUGAACAAUUCCCUUUAAAAAAAUUGAUGGUUUCAAAUAAUCUCUUUUUUAUGCUUGAAUUUGUAUACACUCGUAUUACUAAUCAAUCUUGUCAAUGAAAAAAGCAAAGAAAAGUAUUCUCGUUACGUGUUCUGAAAAAGUGGGGGAAGAAUGGGUUUAAGAGAGGAAAAGGGGUCUGAUUUCCCCUCAACAUUUCUCUUUACGUGUUCUCUUCUCAUUGGUUUACUUGCCACGUCAAGAGCAAGUGAUUUACCCACCAUUUUGUUUGUUGGGAGUAGUGCUGUCAAAAUGAGACCAUAUUUUAUAUACCCUUCUAAUUUUAAGUAAGGUAAAAUUUGGGCUUCAAUUCAUAUUUAAUCCGUAGAAAUUCGAAUAUUUAUGGGUAAAAUAUGGGUAAAAUAUGAGUUAGCCUAAUAGGUUAUUUUUUAACUUUUGCUCAAUCAAAAUACAUGAUAUCAUUUUUGAAAUCGAAAAUACUAUAAAGGUAUUCCAACCCCUCUUCCUCGUAUGUUUUUUUGGAUCUUAUAUAUAUCGUAGAAUGAAGUACCACAUGUGUGGAUAUAUAUAUGAAUCCAAAUCUGUCGAAUCACUCAUGUUAUGAUCUUCUACAUCCUGGGUCGUCCCAUUGUCGUUUUACAGCACGAAAUUACCUGAUGUUCGCUACUAAUAAGGGCGGGGAGACGUUAACCUUUCGCUAUUAGUAAGCACUCCCCUAGUUUUGACCUAAUGAGCUUUCUUUACGUUGAGUUAAUUAACCCGAUGGGUUCGCCUAGAUGCCUAGAUAAGAACGAGCUGGUGGGAAAGAGCUGGAGAUCAUGAAUAAUAUUUUCUCACUAUAAUCGACUAUGUGCAUACUCGAAUACCAAAUAUAAUUUAUGAAGCAGAAGCAGAAGCAGAUUUGUAUAGUUUUCCAUUUGUUCUUGAAGAGUACAUUGUUAAGAAAGAGAAUAUUUUUUCCCACCUGUACUACAUCAUUUAAAGAGAUACACAAGAGUACAUUAAGAA